GGUUUAUUAAAAUUACAGCGCAGCCAUAACAUACAUUGCUGAAUUACAUAAUUCACACAUUCAAUUAUUCCAUGUUCUAUUCUUGCAAAUAUUUCAUUUGCAGAUGAUAAUACACAAGUAUUUAAUUAAAAAUCUGUUUGUAUAAUUUAUCAACUUUGCCAUUAUUAAUAACGAAAAUGAACAUGCACUUAUACUGUAUAUAUUUACAAUAAACAAUUAAUAUAUUACAUAAACGAUUAUUUAAAUAAAUCACUUAUUAACAAACUAACUAUAUAUAUAUAUA
Paramuricea clavata is the source of this 283-nucleotide non-coding RNA. NCBI's taxonomy places the organism in Eukaryota, Metazoa, Cnidaria, Anthozoa, Malacalcyonacea, Plexauridae. The record is from the annotation of a GenBank genome assembly.